AUAUAAUUUUAAUGACCAGAGGAGCAAUUUUGUGUUUUGACUAAUCCCUGUUUUUACCCUUGUUGCAUCUUGUGCCAAUGUGUAUGUUGAAAUAUGUCUAUAAGCUCUUGUCUAUAAUGUUUCUGUAACGUUUUCAGAUGUCUUCGCCUUCUCCUUCGGUUUGCAGUCGAAGUACCCCCUCCUUUCACAUGCAGGGACACUCCGACACUGAAUCCUCUGCUGGCGAGGAAUUGCGUUUUUCUCCUGAACCAAUGGAGUCAACACAGGAGGGUACACAUUCAAUAGAAAAUCCGC
Molecule: long non-coding RNA, 294 nt
Organism: Bufo gargarizans (Asiatic toad)
Lineage: Eukaryota; Metazoa; Chordata; Amphibia; Anura; Bufonidae
Exons: 3
Source: RefSeq, a predicted model, not a curated record